AUAGAGACUCAGAGCUGCAUAUCAAUAAGCGGAGGAAAAGAAACUAACUAGGAUUCCCUCAGUAACGGCGAGUGAAGCGGGAAGAGCUCAAAUUUGAAAUCUUCAAGGUUCUACCUUGACGAAUUGUAGUUUAAAGAAGUGUUUUCUGUUGGAGUUUUGGUAAAAGUUCUUUGGAAUAGGACAUCAUAGAGGGUGAGAAUCCCGUAUUUGACCAUUAUUUCCAGCUUUGUGAUACACUUUCAAAGAGUCGGAUUGUUUGGGAAUGCAGUCCAAAAUGGGUGGUAAAUUUCAUCUAAAGCUAAAUAUUGGCGAGAGACCGAUAGCGAACAAGUACCGUGAGGGAAAGAUGAAAAGAACUUUGAAAAGAGAGUUAAACAGUACGUGAAAUUGUCAAAAGGGAAGCGUUUGACACCAGUGUUGUUUUCUCGAAUAUCAAUUAAAAAAGGCUGGAUUUUGUGUUGUAUUGACUUUAUCAGCUUUCUGCACUCUUUUCUUGUCUUUUUUAAUGCACUUUUCGUUUAACAAGUCAACAUCAAUUUCUUUUGUUGUAAAAGGGUCAUUGGAAGGUGGCUUUCUUUUCGGAGAAAGUGUUUAUAGCCUUUGGCCUCUGCAAUCGGAGAGAUUGAGGUCUGCAGCGUAGAUCCUUCGGGGUUAGAUACAGUUAGAUGCUAAGUUAUAGCCUUUUCAUAGACAACUUGUUGACUAUAAUCAUCAUGUAGCUUACUCGCUUAUGCUAUUUUACCUACGCUUAGGAUGUUGACGAUCAGCUGAGCGCG
This 776-nucleotide ribosomal RNA is filed under the name uncultured Neocallimastigales. Its description in RNAcentral is "partial large subunit ribosomal RNA". It matches the Rfam family "Eukaryotic large subunit ribosomal RNA", at positions 23 to 627 of the family's 3401-position model. The record is from RNAcentral. Lineage: Eukaryota; Fungi; Neocallimastigomycota; Neocallimastigomycetes; Neocallimastigales.